Lolium rigidum is the source of this 3180-nucleotide long non-coding RNA. RefSeq lists it as uncharacterized. Lineage: Eukaryota; Viridiplantae; Streptophyta; Magnoliopsida; Poales; Poaceae. The record is from RefSeq and is a predicted model, not a curated record. The transcript has 7 exons.
UGUUGGGCCAAGGUCAACUGGCGCACUAAGGCCACUCAUCCUGGCAGACAACCCCAAAUCCCUCGCCUCGCCGGCGUACCUUCCACGGCCGCCUCGUCUCCCCCAACUCCGGCACUUUAUCCCCUCGUUCGGAACCUGCUCCCAUCUUCCCCCUUCCUCCCACACUCGCCCACCCGCAUCAGGUCGACCGCCACCGCCCAAGACUCCUGAUGGGCGACACGGCCGCCCAGGAGUCAUGGCAUCGCGCCGGGCUUUGUUUGCUGGUGCGCGCGUUGAACUCGCCUGGCUGCAUCGCUCGUAUGGCCGAGGCGGUUCGGUUCGUCUGUCUUCACGCCGGCGAGAGGUAUGGUAUCGGCCACGACGACGCGCCAUCAGUUGCAGUUGACGGCCAGCAGAAAAAUACUCUAGACCUGACCAAGUCUGCUAUGGAUGCACUACUAGUUUGAAAGUUAGCCACUCUGGUUUCUCAUGAUCAUCAUCAUCCGGUGUACCACGGCUUCGAUGGUCCUACAGAACACGUCUGGUCCUUGCCGCUGCCCCAGCGUCAUGCUACUACUGGUCGCCUACCAUGCUUGAUACUCCGAGGAAUGCAUGCGCAGGGCCAGCUCUGGGGCCGGCUGAGGUGGAGGAUGUGAUGGCGGCGUGCGGGGUGAAGGAGGACGAGCGGGUACCUUCUGCCUAGGUUGAAGCAAGACACAUGAUGGUUUUAGACUACACCAAGCGGUGGUUCCAGAACAUGCUCAAGGAGGCGCUCGAUGGUGACACCGCUUUGCAGGUGCUCAUGGGCAAGAUGUGUACAAUAGCGGCUAGGGCGUCAACAAGAAUGAACACAAGCGAAGGUGGAGAUGGUGCUUGGCAUGAUCAGUAUACUAGGAGCACGCAGGAUGUGCGGGAAAGGCUGAAACACCGGGGUUCCUACCUCACUUCUUUUGGUUUAGAGGAUGGUGUGGUGGAUGAGAAAGGGUGGAGGGCACUGGGAGGAAUUUUGGUGCCAAAUUGAACAUCUUUUUUUUUAGUUUCUUAUAUCAUCUGUCUAUCAGUAUAUAUAAUAUUUGUUGGGUCUUGUGGUUGGUCAGAAUGUGUUUGCAUAUGAUAACCAAUGUGGAAAAAUACCAUCUUUGGGGACUGAUUGGCUUAUUGGCCAUGUUGUCAUUUCCAGAAUCUCAAGGUCCUGAUUACGUGCAUCCCGAAAUUCUUCAGUUCACUCUUUUUUGCCUCUUUUUUAAUAUAUUUAAUCUCUUAUCUUUUUUAGUAGUUGCUCCUUUAUCUUUGUUUGGGAUCUCUUUUGUUUUUUUAUAUUAGUAAUCUAUCUAUCUGUACCCCUGGAGCUUUGCGGAAAACACGUUGAUGCUCUUUAGGUCCAUUGCCAUCAAAUUUGCAGACAUAUUUGACAUUAGUUUUCAUAAUUAAGUCAAAUCCUAAUGGUUUGAUUAGGUAGGUGACAGUUACGAGUGGUUACUUAUUUAAUAUGAUUUUCUAACUUGGUUUAGCCUUAAGAAUAAGCUCUGUGCUAUGAGUACAAUGAUAUCUUCUGGUAAUUUUUGGUUUGGGCAUGCUCGAUUUUUAUGAGCUUCGCACUAGUGUAGGUAACAGUGCCGGUGAAGGGUUUAAGCCACAAAUCUGUAGGCAAAACUCUGUCUUGUGUCGUUUCUGCUGAAAACUCUCAACCAUGAAUCUCAGUUGCUUGUGUGUGUUUUGCAGGUUAGUGAUUUCGUUCACAUCACAUACAACUCGUUCCAACAUUAGAGCCUUGUCAUCGGGUGCGUCAAGGAGAUAGUCUUCUUCCUUGUGAUGGAACUAAUGCAAAGGGGCUGGACUCGCCGUUCCCAUCGCUGGUGGCAUUCUACUCCUUGGUGCAUGCCGAAGAACUGUCCCAGCUGGACUGAAACUCUGAAGCAAUGUACUUGCUUCAACGAGCUAGAACUAAUGUGCAGAAUGAUAAUUAUAUAGAUAGAAGCAUUGAGAAGGCCAUCAUACUAAGGAACAACAUAACUAGAAGACAUGAUGAUGUGGUGGAUGAGCCUGUACUGGUUAGCCUUGUACUGGCUUCUUUUUAGUGUCCAAUGGGCUUUGGGAAUCUUGCUUCACUAAUUAAUAACCACUCCCUCGUUGGGUGUAAUUGCAUCCUAGUCUCCCUUGUUUUCGUUUUUUCAAUGGGUAGAUAGUUGUCUGCUGUUGUCUUUUUGGAUGUUGGUCCCAUCAUAGCACCUUGUUUAACUUUUACAUGUACACAUCUUCAGGGCAUCUUUGGUUCCUACGCCAAAAAAGUUUCUAUCAAGAUGUCAUUUUUUUUGGACGUGGACAAACUAUAUUAUUGCUGUUGCUAUAUAUCUGAAUUAAAGAGUUAAACAUGACUAGAUAAGAAUGAUAUCAAUCUACAUUUCACCUUUGGUGGUUGCGAUAAUGUGUCACGUUUGCUACGAAGCAAUGAACUACAUAAGUAGUAGUAACUGGACAAGCUUGAAAAGAGAUGUUUGUUCAUGAUAAACAACGAACUACAUAAGUAGUAGGACAAGCUUCAAAGAGAUGUUUGUUCAUCCAUACCACGCGCUAUAUAUGAAGCUUUUUUGUAUAUUCCGUGCAUUUUAAUGUGCGAUUGUAUCGAGUUUUCUCUCUUCACAACUUGUGUGAUGGCAUACAAGGAAUACUAUUCUUAUUUCAGGUGCUAGGUUGAACCAUUUUGACUGGUAGCCUUCAUAUUUCAUUGAUUCUUUUGCUAUUUUCAAGUUGUACAAGUUGGCACUGCAGCUGGUAGGGGUGGGAUGAGAUCAAGGUUAGCAACAUCUAGUUCCUUGAGUACGUACUUGGAUGAGAAAUAGAAUACCAAGGAAUCAAAUUAGGUUGUUUCUGCGAUGCAGGAGAUACUCAGAACCUGGUUGGCAGAUGGUAGAUAUGGUGCUUCCAAAGUAUUUGAAUGUUACUAAAACUGAUGGUAAAACUUCUACUUGAAUGCUUUGUUACUUCUGUUGGGGAGAAGUGGAGCCGGAGAAUAGAGGAAGUCAUGCUCAUUGGUUGUGCUUGCAGUGUCUAGACCUGGGAGAAACAUAUUAUUUUGUCUUCUCCUGGGACCUAUGAAGGAUCUAGUCAUCAGCCUUUCUCGUGCGAAUUCGCAGAGCAAUUGGUCAGGUUUGGCUUUGAGGCAGAGUCAACUGUGUAUCUAUAUUAUUUACAUAGCCUAUU